UACGUAGGGUGCAAGCGUGUCCGGAAUUAUUGGGCGUAAAGAGCUCGUAGGCGGUCUGUCGCGUCGAAUGUGAAAGCCCGGGGCUUAACUCCGGGUCGCAUUCGGUACGGGCAUGCUGGAGUUCGGUAGGGGAGACUGGAAUUCCUGGUGUAGCGGUGAAAUGCGCAGAUAUCAGGAGGAACACCGGUGGCGAAGGCGGGUCUCUGGGCCGAUACUGACGUGAGGAGCGAAAGUGUGGGGAGCGAACGG
RNAcentral lists this ribosomal RNA (249 nucleotides) under uncultured bacterium. RNAcentral describes it as "partial 16S ribosomal RNA". It matches the Rfam family "Bacterial small subunit ribosomal RNA", at positions 524 to 775 of the family's 1533-position model. The record is from RNAcentral.